UCCCUGGUGGCUCAGACAGUAAAGAAUCUGCCUGCAACGCAGGAGACCCAGGUUGAACUCCUGGGUCGGGAA
RNAcentral lists this transfer RNA (72 nucleotides) under Bos taurus (domestic cattle). It matches the Rfam family "tRNA". From Rfam's summary of the family: Transfer RNA (tRNA) molecules are approximately 80 nucleotides in length. The record is from Rfam by way of RNAcentral. Lineage: Eukaryota; Metazoa; Chordata; Mammalia; Artiodactyla; Bovidae.